This 249-nucleotide ribosomal RNA is filed under the name uncultured bacterium. RNAcentral's name for it is "partial 16S ribosomal RNA". It matches the Rfam family "Bacterial small subunit ribosomal RNA", at positions 528 to 776 of the family's 1533-position model. The record is from RNAcentral.
UAGGGCGCAAGCGUUGUCCGGAAUUAUUGGGCGUAAAGCGCGUGUAGGCGGCUUUGCAAGUCGGGUGUGAAAGCCCUCAGCUCAACUGAGGAAGUGCGCCCGAAACUGCAGAGCUUGAGUGCCGGAGAGGGUGGCGGAAUUCCCCAAGUAGAGGUGAAAUUCGUAGAUAUGGGGAGGAACACCGGUGGCGAAGGCGGCCACCUGGACGGCAACUGACGCUGAGACGCGAAAGCGUGGGGAGCAAACAGG